UUCAGAUUUCUUUUCCACUUACCUACACGAUAGGACAUUUAGAGCCAGUUGUUGAAGUCUAAUGGAUUGACUGAGAUUGUUCCAUCUUACUCUUUUUAGAGGCAAAUAAAGAGGAUCAAUCAAACUUCUAAUCUUGAAUUCUGCAUUUGCAUAAAGAACUCUGGGGAGUAUCGUCCACUUUCAAUAGCAGGAGACAGGACCUCAGUGUCACAGAGGCUGGCAUGCAAUUGUGAGAUCACAGCUGACUACAGCCUCAAUAUCUUGGGCUCGAGCGAUCCUCCCACCUCAGCCUCCUGAGUAGCUGGAACUACAGGUGCAUACCAUUAUGUCCAUCUGAAUAUUUUACUUCUUGUAGAAAUGGGAUCUUGCCA
This 371-nucleotide long non-coding RNA is filed under the name Homo sapiens (human). RNAcentral describes it as "HSALNT0132318". Lineage: Eukaryota; Metazoa; Chordata; Mammalia; Primates; Hominidae. The record is from RNAcentral.